This 109-nucleotide non-coding RNA is filed under the name Mus musculus (house mouse). The record is from RNAcentral. Lineage: Eukaryota; Metazoa; Chordata; Mammalia; Rodentia; Muridae.
GAUUGGGGAUAUAGCCCAUUAGUAGAGCAUCUGCCCAGCAUAUACAUGACCAGAGACCCAAUCUCCAGUGCUAGGGGGGAAAAAAAACAGAAAAAACUAAAACAAAAUA